UGCACAUGCCGACGAGGUGUAACUACAACUGCAUCAAUGGGUACGCGUCGGCGUCGCGGUUGUCGUUGACGAGCCAGAAGAGCUCGGCGUAAGAGGCGUGCUGGAUGGUGCAGUGAAAUACCACCGACUGAGACUGUGAGUGCCCUAUCUAUCUACGCUGCAGCAUAUGUUUAACUGGAUGAUCAGUUAGUUCGUUUGAGACGGUAGCUAAUCCAGGCAGCAAGUAGCAUGGCUAAUGACGUGUGUAAAAACAAUAUUGCUGAAGAUGGAGGAGGACUAGAUUGGCCGUGCUCGUUUGGCAGGCAUGCAUCAUGUCUGUGCAGUAUAAUGGCAGAGUGGAGCAGGCAACUAAUGACCCAAUCGUCUGUGUAUUAGCAGCACCAAGAUCUUAGCUACUGAAAAAUAGGGUUCCCAUCCCGACAAUUUAUUUUGUGUCCUUCUAAACUGAAAAAUAGAAGGGAUAUCGUUGUGCCUUGCGUGAAAGGCAGGCUGGGCAUCAUCAAUCGAGCAGAGUUUGCUGCAGUUUUUGGUGGUUGUUUCUUUCAUGUAUUACAGUUUUGCCUUUUCUUGCUCCCCGAGCCGCCGCGGAAAUGCUACACCUAAGUAAUCUGUUACUUACGUUUC
This 624-nucleotide long non-coding RNA is filed under the name Hordeum vulgare. RNAcentral describes it as "long non-coding RNA (HVUL_LNC009209)". Lineage: Eukaryota; Viridiplantae; Streptophyta; Magnoliopsida; Poales; Poaceae. The record is from RNAcentral.